RNAcentral lists this unclassified non-coding RNA (234 nucleotides) under Hevea brasiliensis (rubber tree). Lineage: Eukaryota; Viridiplantae; Streptophyta; Magnoliopsida; Malpighiales; Euphorbiaceae. The record is from RNAcentral.
AGAGCUUGAAAACUUGGAAGAGACACUGAAUGAUAGCAUCAGGGAAAGCCUUGGGGCUCGUUCUGGGAUCCGAUCACGUGGUAAGAAGGGAGGAGGAAUGGAAGACGAGGAAGAACUUUUAAGUGAUGAUGAUGACUUCUAUGACCGCACGAAGAAGCCUUCAAAUAAAAAAACUAGCGAAAGUCAAUCAAUUGAAACUGCUGAUUCUCUACUUGAUAAGAGAGAUGCCAUCAA